GGAUCAAUGAGUUUCCCAUAAAAACAGUCCUUGGAAAAGCUGAACAAAAUUGUGAAAACUCACAACUGUCAUUUACAUUGGAGCUGAGGUCC
This 92-nucleotide small nucleolar RNA is filed under the name Carlito syrichta (Philippine tarsier). Its description in RNAcentral is "Small nucleolar RNA SNORD116 (ENSTSYG00000022887.2)". It matches the Rfam family "Small nucleolar RNA SNORD116". From Rfam's summary of the family: HBII-85 is a member of the C/D class of snoRNAs, which contain the C (UGAUGA) and D (CUGA) box motifs. HBII-85 is encoded in a tandemly repeated array with another C/D snoRNA, HBII-52, in the Prader-Willi syndrome (PWS) region of chromosome 15. Lineage: Eukaryota; Metazoa; Chordata; Mammalia; Primates; Tarsiidae. The record is from Rfam by way of RNAcentral.